AGAGUUUGAUCUUGGCUCAGAACGAACGCUGGCGGCAGGCCUAACACAUGCAAGUCGUACGAGAAGGUUCUUUCGGGAACUGGAGAGUGGCGCACGGGUGAGUAACGCGUGGGGACCUACCUCUUAGUGGGGGAUAACGGUUGGAAACGACCGCUAAUACCGCAUACGCCCUUCGGGGGAAAGAUUUAUCGCUAAGAGAUGGACCCGCGUUGGAUUAGAUAGUUGGUGAGGUAAUGGCUCACCAAGUCGGCGAUCCAUAGCUGGUUUGAGAGGAUGAUCAGCCACACUGGGACUGAGACACGGCCCAGACUCCUACGGGAGGCAGCAGUGGGGAAUAUUGGACAAUGGGGGCAACCCUGAUCCAGCCAUGCCGCGUGAGUGAAGAAGGCCUUCGGGUUGUAAAGCUCUUUCAGAUGCGAAGAUGAUGACGGUAACAUCAGAAGAAGCCCCGGCUAAUUUCGUGCCAGCAGCCGCGGUAAUACGAAAGGGGCAAGCGUUGUUCGGAUUUACUGGGCGUAAAGGGCACGCAGGCGGUCUUGCCAGUCAGGGGUGAAAGCCCGGGGCUCAACCCCGGAACUGCCUCUGAUACUGCAAGACUAGAGACUAGGAGAGGGUGGUGGAAUUCCCAGUGUAGAGGUGAAAUUCGUAGAUAUUGGGAGGAACACCAGA
Molecule: ribosomal RNA, 669 nt
Filed under: uncultured Thalassospira sp.
Lineage: Bacteria; Pseudomonadati; Pseudomonadota; Alphaproteobacteria; Rhodospirillales; Thalassospiraceae
Description: bacterial SSU rRNA
Rfam family: Bacterial small subunit ribosomal RNA
Source: RNAcentral